UGGGGAAUUUUCCGCAAUGGGCGAACGCCUGACGGAGCAAUACCGCGUGAGGGAGGAAGGCUUUUGGGUUGUAAACCUCUUUUCUUAGGGAAGAAGAAAGUGACGGUACCUAAGGAAUCAGCCCCGGCUAACUCUCUGCCAGCAGCCGCGGUAAUACAGAGGGGGCAAGCGUUGUCCCGACUUACUGGGCGUAAAGCGCACGCAGGUGGUAACGCAAGUGGGGUGUUAAAGCCGCCAGCUCAACUGGCGGAGGCCAUCCCAAACUGCGUCACUUGAGGCCUGUAGAGGUAUGUGGAAUUGCCGGUGUAGUGGUGAAAUGCGUAGAGAUCGGCAGGAACACCCAGGGGGAAACCAGCAUACUGGACAGGUCCUGACACUCAGGUGCGACAGCGUGGUGAGCGAACCGGAUUAGAUACCCGCGUAGUCC
RNAcentral lists this ribosomal RNA (427 nucleotides) under uncultured prokaryote. Its description in RNAcentral is "bacterial SSU rRNA". It matches the Rfam family "Bacterial small subunit ribosomal RNA", at positions 355 to 796 of the family's 1533-position model. The record is from RNAcentral.